ACCUAGCUGGCUCAGUCAGAAAAGCAUGCAACCCUUGAUCUCGGGGUUGUGAGUUCGAGUCUCACGUUGGGUG
Molecule: transfer RNA, 73 nt
Filed under: Mustela putorius furo (domestic ferret)
Lineage: Eukaryota; Metazoa; Chordata; Mammalia; Carnivora; Mustelidae
Rfam family: tRNA
About the family: Transfer RNA (tRNA) molecules are approximately 80 nucleotides in length. Their secondary structure includes four short double-helical elements and three loops (D, anti-codon, and T loops). Further hydrogen bonds mediate the characteristic L-shaped molecular structure. tRNAs have two regions of fundamental functional importance: the anti-codon, which is responsible for specific mRNA codon recognition, and the 3' end, to which the tRNAs corresponding amino acid is attached (by aminoacyl-tRNA synthetases). tRNAs cope with the degeneracy of the genetic code in two manners: having more than one tRNA (with a specific anti-codon) for a particular amino acid; and 'wobble' base-pairing, i.e. permitting non-standard base-pairing at the 3rd anti-codon position.
Source: Rfam by way of RNAcentral